CUUCACCGACCCCAGCCACAGCGGCCGGUCCUGCGGCCUGCCCCGGCCGUAGGUGUUGAGCAGCGCCCGCGCCUC
This 75-nucleotide antisense RNA is filed under the name Actinosynnema mirum DSM 43827. Its description in RNAcentral is "ASpks TB sRNA". It matches the Rfam family "ASpks TB sRNA". The record is from Rfam by way of RNAcentral. Lineage: Bacteria; Bacillati; Actinomycetota; Actinomycetes; Pseudonocardiales; Pseudonocardiaceae.